Molecule: ribosomal RNA, 578 nt
Filed under: uncultured bacterium
Lineage: Bacteria
Description: partial 16S ribosomal RNA
Rfam family: Bacterial small subunit ribosomal RNA
Source: RNAcentral
UGGGGAAUUUUGGACAAUGGGCGAAAGCCUGAUCCAGCAAUGCCGCGUGUGUGAAGAAGGCCUUCGGGUUGUAAAGCACUUUUGUCCGGAAAGAAAUCCUUGGCUCUAAUACAGUCGGGGGAUGACGGUACCGGAAGAAUAAGCACCGGCUAACUACGUGCCAGCAGCCGCGGUAAUACGUAGGGUGCAAGCGUUAAUCGGAAUUACUGGGCGUAAAGCGUGCGCAGGCGGUUUGCUAAGACCGAUGUGAAAUCCCCGGGCUCAACCUGGGAACUGCAUUGGGUGACUGGCAGGCUAGAGUAUGGCAGAGGGGGGUAGAAUUCCACGUGUAGCAGUGAAAUGCGUAGAGAUGUGGAGGAAUACCGAUGGCGAAGGCAGCCCCCUGGGCCAAUACUGACGCUCAUGCACGAAAGCGUGGGGAGCAAACAGGAUUAGAUACCCUGGUAGUCCACGCCCUAAACGAUGUCAACUAGUUGUUGGGGAUUCAUUUCCUAGUAACGUAGCUAACGCGUGAAGUUGACCGCCUGGGGAGUACGGUCGCAAGAUUAAACUCAAAUGAAUUGACGGGGUCAUAGCUG